GGGGGCAUAGCUCAGUGUGGUAGAGCAUUCGACUGCAGAUCGAGAGGUCCUCGCUUCAAACACGGGAGCCCUCA
Trichonephila inaurata madagascariensis is the source of this 74-nucleotide non-coding RNA. Lineage: Eukaryota; Metazoa; Arthropoda; Arachnida; Araneae; Nephilidae. The record is from the annotation of a GenBank genome assembly.